This 35660-nucleotide long non-coding RNA is filed under the name Cucumis sativus (cucumber). Its description in RNAcentral is "long non-coding RNA (CSAT_LNC001926)". The record is from RNAcentral. Lineage: Eukaryota; Viridiplantae; Streptophyta; Magnoliopsida; Cucurbitales; Cucurbitaceae.
AUACAGGGUAAAUUUAGAUCUAUUAAAAACAUAAUUGAAAAUUCAUAGAUUUAUUGGACACAAAAUUGAAAGUUUAAGGACCAAGUAGAUACUGUUUCAAGUUUAGGAUUUUUCCAUACAGAAUUGAAAUUUUAGAGAUCAAAUAGAUACAGACCUCAAAAUUAAGGACUAAACUUACAAUUUAACCAAUUGUUAUUGAGUAUAUAGACUUAUUUUUAGGCGUAGUGCUACUAGAACGAACUGAUGACCAUAAACUCACAGGGUGACAUGAAAAGUACUAUUGUAUGGAAUCUCAUAUAGCAGAAACAUAUAACAGAAAAAUAUUUAGAUAGCUUAUAUUAUCUUUCGAAAAAUAUAAACUACAUAGUUCAAAAGAAGAUGAACGGUAAAUAGUUUGAUGCUAUAACGUUCUUAACCACACCACCUUUGAAAAUAAGUAAUCUAGAAACUUACUGGUUUCUGUUGGUGCAAAUGUGAACCGAAGUUCAAAGAUUGGUCUCUUAUUUUUUUGUCUCUUGUUGGAGAUCAUCUCUUAUAAUUUAUUUUUUAUGAAUGUUAAAAAAGUUCAUUUGUUAAUUUAGAGUCUGAAGUGAUAGAGAGAUAUAUACAGGAAGGAGUGAUAAACUGUUAGCAUGGGCAUUUUGGUCCCUCGUCCUUUUAAGUCUAGUUUACAUUUAGUCCAUAUAAUUUCACAUGUUACACGUUUACUUAAGAAUUUUGAAUUCAAAUUCCAUUUGGUCUUUAGAUUUUAAAAUGCAAGAUUUAGACUUGAGUUUUGGGUUUUGUUUCAAUGUGGUCCAAAUUUUAACAAUUUUUCUUCCUUGUUAAAUUAAAAAAAAAAUCACAAUCAUAAUUAUUUUACAUUAAUUAACUAAAACUUAACUCAAAAGCCAAAAUGGUAUUAUUGCAAGUUUUGGAGGAAAGAUUUAAAAUAUUUAAAAUCAAUGGACUAAAUGGAAACUAAACUAAAAAACCGAGAAGGUUAAAAAGACCGUAACAUUUUGGAACUAGGGCCAAAUGGAAAUUAAACAAAAAGGGUUAGGGGUAUAAAUACCAAUAACCUUUGAACUUAACGAAAAACGAAAACUAGAUUCAAUCUGGAAAGUAAAAAUUGUAUAUUUUUUCCUAAUUAUCAAAAAAAAUCUUGAAUAAAAAUAUCCUAACAUCAUCUUCUUAACUUGACAAAUAAAAAAAAUAAAAAAAUAAAAAACAUGUGCAACUUAGGUUGCAUCCAUCAUCGUGCAACUCAAAUUGCACACCAAUAAAAAUAUACCAUGACAAAAAAAAAUAGAUUUUUUUUCUUUACUAUUAUGCUAGACUGCACCUAAUCAUGGUAAAAAAUAAAUAAGGUCCUUACCCUUCUUUUUACAACUCAUGAACUCUCACUAUUGAAGGCCUAAUACUUCUACUUCUCACAAUUAUUUAAUUAUACCAAUACCUUGUCUCAGACAACUCUCCUUCUGAAUUUUCCCCUGAAUGUUUGGAUCAAGAGCUUCCUUUACCCCUUUCUAGUGUUUAUGACAACAUUCUAGGAAGUGAACCUUCUUUUACAAACUUCACCCCUAGCUUCACUCGCACUCUUGAUUACAUAUUUUUCUCACCUUCUGACUUUAUAAGACCCAUUAGCUUUCUAGAGCUCCCAGAAUUAGAAUGGCCAGAGAUUAUUGGUGGGUUACCUAAUAAUAGCUACCCAAGUGAUCGUCUUCCUAUUGCUGCUGAAUUUGAAAUCACAAUGGAAUAAGUUCAGCAUUUCAAAUCUUAUCCCUAUUCUUUUUUCUCCUUCUUUUCAUAUUGAUUAUUUCUUUUAUUUAAAUGGAACAGACAUUUGUUCUAGGUUCCAUUGAAGUUGAGAAUCAUUGUAAACCUAGAUCUUUCUUUUUUUUCUUUGCUAUGGUUAAAUUAUAAGUUAAUGUUUUGUUCUGUUACAAUUUUGUUCCUAUCAAUAUUGAUUAGUAUUAAAGUUAGUAUACUAUUUUGGACGUUGUUACUUCUUGUACAUUUAUAUGUCAUACUAUCAGUACAUCUUAAAUUUAGUUCAUCUGGUUUCAACAAAUCGUAACAACAUUUGAAGACAUUAUUUAUCAAAUUGGUUAGAGUAAUUUUUUAAAACAAUAAAGUAAUAGCAAUAACUAAGUUAAGAUUUAUAAAAAAUAUAGAAUUAAGAUGGUACAAACUCUAUACUUUCCUCCUCAUUCUUCACCAUGAGAGAACCCUUAAAAUUAAAAAAAAAAAAACGAAAAAGAAAUUCAUUUUAAUUUUGCAUGGAUGCAUUAGUACCCAUCAAGGAAGACAAAGGUGAAGAAAAAAAUAUAGUAGUUGGCUAGCUGGUAUAGGCAAGAAAGUCAAAACCACCAAGCUUAGAACAAUGUCAGAGGUCCCGAAAGUUCACAUCUAACUGCUGGGUGUCACAAUCUUAACCCUUCAAACACGAUGUGAACGAUUGUCACAUCUAACUGCUGGGUGUCACAUCUAACUGCUGAGUGUCCCGAAAGUUCACAUCUAACUCGACGAAUAAGUCAGCCGUUCAAAAUCUGCAAAUCGCGGACAACUUUAACACACGCUUCAACCUCCCCUCACGUUCUUGGAAAAAUAUUUUUAGAAAACGUGAAAGAUGAUUAAUUUGAUUGAAAACGUUGUUAAAACUAGCAUUGAAGAUUGUUGUCAAUUGCAAUAAGAAAGCGUAGAUUGCAAAGAGUACGACAAGGCUUGGGCGGGGAUUCAACAGGUAUGCCUCUCCUAUAGUACUUUUUUAACAUUUUCAUCUCUGGAAGGCUUGCAUAUGAAAAUGCCGAAACGUUACACCCAAGCAUAUCGACUUGAAAUUCAAAGCAACUACCUAAACUACGUACAAGACAUAAAGACAAGAUAAAUUGGGGCUAAUCUGAGCAUAUGGCCAUAGGUAAACACACCUUGGACAAGUAUGUUUGUUACAUUCUCCCCCACCUAAACAGUUGACGUCCCUGUCAACUGGUGAAGCUUGAACUCCUCAAUCUUCUGCGCCUCGGCUUCUAGGUCUUCGACACAUUCCCAACCGGUUUCUUCCACAAGAAGGUUCUUCCACUCUACCAAGUACUCGUGGAUCCUUCUUCCUCGCUCGUUCGGCCAGGAUUUCUUCAACUUCUUUACUCUCCUUCUGGCUGAGGUCGAUGGUCAGUCAGACUAUGACAUUAUGUUGCAUGUCAUCAGGAUCAUGCUAGUAGGGCUUCAAAUUACUCACAUGAAUUACUGGGUUGAUUUUCAUCCAUGUGGGCAACGCUACUUUAUAAGAUGUGUUCCUUACCUUCUUCAGCACUUCCACUUGUCCCUCGUACUUUCUUACGAGGCGUUGGUCUUUGCGUCCUCGGAACCGAAUCUGUCCUGGUUGUAACUUAAUGAGAACCUGAUCUCUGACACGAAACUCUAUAGGGCGGCGCUUCUUGUCUGUCCACUUCUUCAUCUGCUUCGAGGCUUUCUCUAAAGAGGCUCGAGCGAUGUAUGUCGUCUGCUUCCAUUCCCUGGUAAAAUUGUGAGCUUGAGGGUUCUUCCCCGCAUAGGGGUGAUCAACAAGGUGUGGCAGAACUGGUUGCCUUCCGCAAACAAUUUCAAAAGGGCUAUUUCCAGUUGACGAGCUUGUCUGAGCGUUAAAACAAAAAUUGGGCAACAUCCAACAACUGAGCCCAAUUUCUUUGCCUUGCAGUAACAAAAUGGCGCAAGUAUUCUUCGAGCAUACCGUUGAACCGCUCAGUCUGACCGUCCGUCUGGGGAUGGUAACUUGAGGACACAUUCAGGCUUGUCCCUAAGAAAGUGAAUAACUCUGUCCAAAAGGCGCCAAUGAACCGUCCAUCUCGAUCACUCACAAUGCUUGUCGGUACACCCCACAACUUCAUAAUAUGUCUAAAGAAUAAUUGAGCUGUUAACUCUGCCGAACACUACUUCGUAGUGGGAACAAAAGUGACAUAUUUCGAGAAUCAAUCUAUAAUGACUAAUAUAGUCUCAUAGUCGCCUACUUUUGGAAGAUGUGUGAUGAAGUCUAUAGAAACGCUCUCCCACGGUCUCGUUAGCACAGGCAGAGGUUCGAGAAGCCCAGCAACCUUUGCCUUCUCGACUUUGUCCUGUUGACAGACAAGACACAUCUUCGUGUAUUGCAUGAUAUCGUCUCUCAUACGGGGCCAAAAGUAUCCAUACUUCAGCAAGACAUAUGUCCUCUGUCAUCCGGGGUGGCCGGCCCACAGAGUGUCCUGACACUCGUGUAGCAACUUCUUCCUCAGGUCUCCUCCCCUAGGGACAUACAACCGUCUCCCCUUCGUCACUAACAACCCAUCUUCAACCCAAAACUGCCUUGUUUUAUCUGCCUCAGCUAAACUCAUGACACUUUGAGCCGCAGAAUGCUUCUGCAAGAACUCCCUCAAGAAAUCGCGCAUAGGACCAUCAAUCUUGCUUGCGUAGAGAUGUGCUAACAUGCACAAAGCAACGUGUUCACCUCUUCGACUAAGCGCAUCAGCGGCCUGAUUGCUCACCCCCUUCUUGUGUUCAAACUCAAAAUCAAACUCAGUUAGGAAUUCCUGCCAUCUAGCUUGUUUUGAAGUCUAACUUCGGUUGCGUAAAGAAGUGACAAGUAGCACUAUUGUCCGUCUUCACAACAAAAAGUUGACCCCAAUAAGUACUGUCUCCAGGCCCUUAAGCAAUGUACUACGGCAAGCAUUUCUUUCUCGGCCACGGUGUACCUCCUCUCCGUGACAUUCAACUUUCGACUCUCAUAAGCGAUGGGGUGUCCAUUCUGCAGGAGUACACCACCCAAUGCGUAAUCAGACGCAUCGGUCUCUACUUUAAAUGGUUGGGUCACAUCUGCGAUCCCAAGAAUUGGCCCCUUGACCAUAGCUUGCUUCAGUUCAUCGAAGGCGACAUGACAUUCCAGUGUCCAAUUCCACUUGUUGUCCUUCUUCAGCAAGUCAGUCAACGGGCUUACUCUUUUAGAGAAUCCUUCCACGAAUCACCUGUAAUAAUUGGCUAACCCGAGGAAGGAGCGCAAGUCGGUGAUUGACCUUGGUACUUCCCAAUCACGAAUCGCAAUGAUCUUUCCUUCUUCCAUACUGAUUCGACCAUACUCAAUCACAUGACCCAAAAAAUUGAUCCGCUCUUGAGCAAAGGAACACAUUUCCCUCUUGACAUACAGUUGGUUCUCCUUUAGUUGGUUCUCCUUCAACUUCUGAAAAACCCUUUUGAGGUGGUCCUUGUGUUCUUCUAGCGUGGAGCUAUAAACCACUAUAUCGUCCAGAUAGACCACCACAAACUUGUCAAGGUAUUCAUGGAAGACCUGGUUCAUUAGCGUACAGAACGUUGCAGGUGCAUUGGUAAGACCAAAUGACAUGACAAGGAACUCGAACGCCCCAUGCCUCGUAACGCAGGUGGUUUUGGGCUCAUCCCCUUCGACAAUUCUUACUUGAUAAUAGCCCGAUCGCAAGUCUAGCUUCGAGAAAUACUUUGCUCUAUGAAGGCGAUCAAACAGGUCUUGAUUAUUGGUAGCGGAUAUCUGUUGCAGACCGUGAUCUUGUUUAGGGCGCGGUAGUCGAUGCACAACCGCAUACUUCCAUCCUUCUUCUUCUGGAAAAGGACUGGAGCUCAAUAUGGAGCUUUUGGAGGCCUCACAAAUCCUGCGUUCAGCAGUUUACCCAGUUGUUUUCGAAGUUCGGCCAACUCCGGCGGUGCCAUACGAUAAGCAUUCUUCGCAGGCGGUUUUGCCCCUGGAAGCAAUUCGAUCUCAUGGUCGAUCAUUCUCCGUGGAGGCAAUGAUUUCGGCAGGCUGUCUGGCAUCACAUCCUUGUACUUCUUUAAGACACUCAGGAUGUCUUUGGGGACUGUUUCCCUUGGGCUUUCGAACGACUCCAGUGGGAUAGCCAUAAAGGUUGGUUCGUCACGAGCAAGGCCUUUCUUCAACUGCAUAGCCGAGAUCAUCUUUAUCCCAUCAGGCUGACGAAUCUCAGUUUGAACAACAGUAGGCGUUGUUCCAGUAAUCACUAAACAUUUGGCUAGCGGCAUUGGUAUGACUUGAUGCUCAAGUAGAAACUUCAUACCCAGUACCACAUCGAAGUCAUCCAUCUUUGCAACCACCAAAUCUAUGAGACCGCUCCACUCUUCCAUCCUUAUAGUCGUUCGUUUUACCAACCCGACGAUAGGUAGGGCAGCUGAGUUCACGUCCUUCAUUUUUCCUGCGUCCUUCUCCCAACGGAGAUUCAGUCGUCUAGCUUCCGCUUCUACAAUGAAGUUAUGGGUGGCACCAGAAUCCACCAUAGUGCUCUUGGGUGGCUUUUGGUUGACCCAACAGUCUACGUACAUGAGACCAUUCUACGUACAUUAGGGCCCCCAUCCGAGGAUUCUCGCCCUCUUCUAUCUGUCCAACGUCUCCUUCAGUCUGACUCAAUCUAUCAUCUGAGUCCGAGGCCAGGGUGGCUUGAAAAGCGUUGAAGGCGAUACGGUUGGGGCACUCUCUGGCAAGAUGAGGUCCUUUACAUAUGAAACAACUGAUGGAACGACUGGUGUUGUUUUGAUUGUUUGGUCCUCGCCAGUUGUUUCUUGUAUUCGCUUGGAAGGGCUUGCGAUCUCCACCUUGUCGCUUGUCUCCCCCUACAGUCUUCGGGGAAUUUGGGCGGUUGUUUCUGUUUCCUCUAGAGGAGGAAGCUUGAUGCCGUCUUGCAUCCUCAGAUUCGCUAGAUAAGUCAAACAACCGUUCAGCCACUACGUAUGCCGACGUGAGGUAUUGGAUUCGUUGCUCAUACAACUUGGUCCUAGCCCACGGCUUCAAUUCACGUAGUCCCGAAUGUUCCCCGUGUGCUUCAAUUCACGCAGCUUCCGUCGGGCCAGAAUUUUGACAUUUUCAGGAAAAAAAUUGCGAACGGAGUUCUUCUUUUAGGGCAUCCCACGUGUCGAUUGUGCAACGGCCUUCUUGAAUGUCCAUGUAUCGGGACUUUAGCCCGAUUAACUGUCCCCACGCUCGUAGGUGACAUUUCCCGUUCUCAUAACUCGGGACUUUAGAGCGUCGACUCUAGUCAAUAACUCUUGGAUGGGUAGUCCGUCAAGGCGACCGAACACGACUUCAAUGCCAUCAACUUUCUUGGCAAUAUCCUCAAGCCGCUAUUCCAAGAACCGGAUGGAAUCAGGAACUUCCACCAGGUAGAGCAUCUGCUCUUCGAUUCCCAUAAGUCGCUCAUUAUGGGUCUUGCUAGACUGUUUCGCCACCGACAUCUUUCUGUCUCGCACUGUCAACUGCCAACUUGGCUCUGAUACCACUUGUCACAAUUGUAACCCUUCAAACACGAUGUGAACGAUUGUGCGACACUUGUUCUAACUCGACGAACAAGUCAGCCGAUCAAAAUCCGUAAAUCGCGGACAACUUUAACACACGCUUCAACCUCCCCUCACGUUCUUGGAAAAAUAUUUUUAGAAAACGUGAAAGAUGAUUAAUUUGAUUGAAAACGUUGUUAAAACAAGCAUUGAAGACUGUCAAUUCUUAGUUCUGUCCCGAAACAUCCAAAAAAGGGUCGAUGUUAUGGCCUAGAAAGAAACCACCCAGCUUAGAACAAUGUCAGAGGUCCUGAAAGUUCAAAUCUACCUGUCAGAUGGCCACAUUCCGAGUAAUAUUAAAGUUUCUUGCCCACAAAAGCCGAACGGCGAUGGCCCGAUCUCGGUUUUUUAGUUUCGUCCUGAAACGUUGAAAAAAUGGUCGAUGCUAUGGCCUAGAAAGAAACCACCCAGCUUAGAACAAUGUCAAAGGUCCCGAAAGUUCACAUCUAACUGCUGGGUGGCCCCAUUCCAAGUAAUAUUAAAGUUUCUUGCCCACAAAAGCCGAACGGCGAUGGCCCGACCUCGGUUUUUUAGUUUCGUCUGAAAACGUCGUAAAAAGGGUUGAUGCUAAUGCCUAGAAAGAAACCACGAGGCUUACAACAAUGUCAGCGGUCCCAAAAGUUCACAUCUAACUGCUGGGUGACCUCAUUCCGAGUAAUAUUAAAGUUUCUUGCCCACAAAAACCGAACGGCCAUUUCUUGAACAAGUUUUUUAGUUUCAUCUUGAAACAUCGAAAAAAUGGUCGAUACUAUGGCGUAGAAAGAAACCACCCAGCUUAAAACAAUGUCAGAAGUCUCGAAAGUUCACAUCUAGCUGCUGGGUGAUCACAUUCCGAGUAAUAUUAAAGUUUCUUGCCCACGAAAGCAGCACGGUGAUGCCUCGGAUAAGGUUUUUUAGUUCCGUCCUGAAAUGUCGAAAAAAGGGCCGAUGCUAUGGCCUAAAAAGAAACCUCCCUGCUUAGAACAAUGUCAGAGGUCCCGAAAGUUCACAUCUAAUUGUUGGGUGGCCCCAUUCCGAGUAAUAUUAAAGCUUCUUGCCCACAAAAGCCGAACAGCGAUUUCUCAUACAAGGGUUUUUAGUUCCGUCUCGAAACGUCAAGAAAAUGGUCGAUGCUAUGGCCUCAAAAGAAACCACCCAGCUUAUAACAAUGUCAGAGGUUUCGAAAGAUCAAUCUAACUUCUGGGUGGUCCCAUUCCGAGUAAUAUUAAAGUUUGUUGUCCACAAAAGCCGAACAGCGAUGUCCCGGACUCGGUUUUUUUAGUUCUAUCCCGAAGCGUCGAAAAAUUGGUCGAUAUUAUGGCCGAAUAAGAAACCACCCAACUUAGAACAAUGUCAGAGGUUCUGAAAGUUCACAUCUAAAUGUUGGGUAGCCUCAUUCCGAGUAAUUUCAAAGUUUUUUGCCAACAAAAGCCGAACGACGAUGUCCCAGACUCAUUUUUUUAGUUCUAUCACGAAAAGUCAAAAAGAUGGUCUAUGUUAUUGCGUAGAAAGAAAUCACCUAGCUUAGAACAAUAUUAGAGGUUUCGAAAGUUCACAUCUAACUGCUGGGUGGCCCCAUUCCGAGGAAUAUCAAUGUUUCUUGCCGAAAAAAAUCAAACGACGAUGUCCAGACUUGAUUUUUUAGUUCCGUCCCGAAACGUUGAAAAACUAAAAUAUUAAAAUAUUGCUAUGAAUCAUAUUUUUACUCAUGGUUUUUUUUCUUUUUGUUUUUAUUUAAGUGUUGAGUGUCUAAGAAUUAUUUGAUAUGGUACGAGUCUUCAAAAGUCAUCCUUUUCAUUUUCUCUUUUAUAGGAUGAGUCAUCAAGACUCAUCUUUCUACACUAGAUCUCUAAUAAGUUCUAAAACAAUUUUUUUUAAGAAUACAGUAUUUCAAUAAAUCAUCCAUUUUUAUUAUAAGAAUAGAAGAAGGGAGAAAAUGAAGUUUUUUUUUCUUAGAGGUUGAUUAUAAUUGGUUUGAUUAUUAACACAAAAUGAUAGUUUAAGAGAUCUAUCGGUGUGAGAAUUCUUUUGUUUACCUAAUUAUUUUUUAGUAUGUUUUAAGAAUAAAUAUUUGUUUCGAAACUUUGUGAGAUUUUGUGGGCUUUUAUGUUUUAACCGAGAUCUAAAAUAUCAAUGUUGAUAGAUAUAUCAAAGUUUUGAUUUUUCAAUUUCAAUGGAUGUUUUUGAAAAAAUUAUAAAAAAUAAAAAGUAAAAUUAAAUCAUUAAAUAAAUAUUUUAUUGUUUGAAAGUGAGUAAACCUGUUUAUCAAUUAUAUUAUAUUUAUAUUAGUUUCAUUUGAUGUUUGUUUUAUGUGAUUUAUGGAUUUUUUAGGAUGUAUUAAAAAUAUCGAUUCAUCCCUUCUAUUGAUGUUGAACUCAUGGAAAUGUGAAAAUAUCAAUAGAAAUGUCAACAUAUCGAUGAAAAUUUAAAACUAUCGUGUUACUUUAAAAUUUUUGUUCAUUUUAAGUACUAAAAAGUUUUGGUGUAAAAAUUUGAUAAAUGAAAAUCUUUUUGAAUUUUUUUUAAGAUUUAAGGAUAUUUAUGACUAAGAUUUUUAUUUUUUAAAAAAAGUAAAAAUUUCUGUCAUAAUAUGAAAUCUUAAAAUAAUCGUUUUCUUUUAAUCUUUUAUAAAAAAAAAAAAAAAGAGAGAAAAUAAAAAGCUUAAUGAGCAUAUCUAUCAUUUUAGGGAAAAAAGCAAAUUAAUUCAUUUUAGACAAAAUCUCGUAAUAUCAAAUUUGAUUUAUUUCUAUAAGCAUAAUCAAUAACUCAGUUCAACAUGACAGAACGAAACAUGUAAAGAUAGACACACGUUUUAUGAAGGAGAAACUUGAAAAUGACACCAUUUAUAUCUCAUACACUCCUAGUCAACAAAUAGCUUAUAUUUUCACCGUAGGGUUACUCUGGCAUACUUUGACUAUUGUGCUAGUAAGUUGGACCUAAUUAAGGGUUAGUAGAGUUCUUAUAGCCCUAAGGGUUCUCCUAGAUUAAUUGAUUGUUAUCUUGUGUUGAGAAUUGAAAGCGAGUAGAAUUUGAAUCAAGAACAAUCAUUGCAAGUGCAAACUAGCCAGAAUGGAACUCAAUACCGAUCACAAGAGCACAGGCAGGAGAUACGUCGAGAACUCACACGAGAGAAUCAUCAUGACAGGUAAGUCAAUCGUCCAAAUCAUGCUCAAAACUUUGAAUUCACAUUUCUUGUCCUGACUUCCAAAUAGAUGAGGAUGCUGAGACGACUUUUGCAGGUUGAAUGGUGUUGUUUAAAACCAAUUUGAAUUGUUGAAGUCCCUUAACUUCCUAAGAUGUCUCUCCAUAUCUUGUCUAGUUUUGGUCCUCUAUUCUUUCUCGAUUACCGUGGUCGGGUCAUCUCGUUCACUCUAGAUUGCAUUGAGAGUAUAGGGGAUUAAGCAAUAAACAGAGCAUAAAAUGCUAAUGAAAUCUGGUAGAUAAGAAACAGAUACCGAAUGGAUGAUCUUGAAAGAGUUUCCAUUGUCCCAAACUACGAGCAAGUCGCUUCUCCUGUCCCUAUCUCUUCCUCCUGGAACUGUGACUGUGUUAGAGCAAAAGGAAGUAGUUUAAACCCUUUUAACAGACUAGAAGCAGCUUGAAAUCUUCAAUUCGACUUGAAGUUUAGAACUUCACUUAUUACUGAAACAGUGCAAAAGCCAAGAAAAAAAAGUCUUACCAGGACUUUUGCCCUAGUGAUUGACUUGGUUUUUGAAUCAAUUACAUAUAUUUUCUCAAAAUCUAGGACGAAUUCAGGGUCCCACAGCCUUUGAUUUUUGAAGUGCUUCGUCAAGAAAACCUGCAAAAGAUAAAUGAAUUGUUUGCACAUUCUUAUAUCCUUUGUCCACAUUCCCAUCCUGAAGAGAAGACCAUCACAUGCAUAAUAUUCUUAAAUUUCAAACGUCGUUGAGUCAAUGAACGUCACUUUGUAUAACUAUGCUUGCUACUUCUAUUCUAACGUAUCGCGGCGAAACCUAUACUCGGAUUUACAAAGAAAUGGAAGAGUCCAUUAAAUUAUCAUCACUUUCACUAGAAAUAGAAAAAUAGAGUGAACAAUCAUCAAAUUCUUAAGUCCAACCUUACCUUAAGAACCUCCUUUUCAGACUUGUAUAAUGGAUCUCUAGGUGCAUCAAUAGGUGGUUCUAUGACAUUGUAGCAUCCAUAAUCACUCUAAGCACAUCUAAUAUACUGCAGUUGUGAAGAAAAGUAUGAUCAUACACUACUGAAAUUCCUUAAAAUCUUAUUUUGGUCCUUGAACAAUGGUAUAAACAAAAUUCCUUAAAAUCUUAUUUUGGUCCUUGAACUAUGAUGUUUGUUCCAUAUUGUUCUAUUAACUUUUAAUUAUUGUGUUUAAGUCCCUUAACCUUCAAUAAGUCAGUUUUAGUCUCAGAUUUCUUCAUCAAAUUAACUGUUAACUUACCAACAGUUCUUCCACAAAAACUUAAAUGACCGUCUGUAAACAUUUGCCGACUGACUAAAUGAACAUGCUAAAUCGAAAUCUGUUUAUAGAAAAUGAUUGAAACUUUUCAUAAAGGAGAUGAACAGAGACUAGUGCUUCAACAUACAAAAGGAUACAACAAAAACAUAGCAUAAUGUAAACAAUUAACCACAGAGGAUUAAAGGCAAAUGUGGUAAGACUAAAGUAAUAAGACUUCAAAAAGUAAAUGAAAACUUAGAGAGGCUUGAUAAAUGUCGGCCAAUUGCACUAGUUAUUGUUAAUGUAAAGUUAAUGAAAAUGGCUAAACUAACAGGUUAAGUUUCUGUUCAAUUGUUAGUUAAAAACUAAUGAAAAUGGUUGAAACGGGUUUUUAAUCUAGAGUUCAAGACUAAAACAUAAUAAUUUACACCAUUUUAUCAUGUAUAUAAAUGCAAAGAAAGAACAAUAAUACCUUUUGAGGCAUUGGAGGGAGUAAGAACUUUGGGGACGACAUAAACAUCAGUAUCCGGAGGAGUAACAUACAUCUACAACCAAGAAACACAUCAACGAAAACUUUUUUAACUAUCAAAUGAAUCUGAUAAAGCCAAGUUUGAAAUGAAACUAAGCAAAUUUUGCCACUAACCUCUUUAAAAUCAUAAACAUCGCUGUUGGGAUCCGACGACUUCCUAAUGAAGAAAUGACAGUGCAUAAAACUAAUAUUAUGAAAUUCCUCCUCAUUUAUCCUAUGAUCCACAAUCAUCUCCGAAUCCCAUCCCUGUGUGAACAUGAAGCUUUUGCUCUGCACAAUCGAGAUAUUCUCAUCGCCAACGUCGCCGGAACCCGCUGCUGCAGCUAUCGCGGCGACUAGAGGAUCGUACUCGAUGUCGAAAUCUUUGUUGCUGUUGAAUUCCUCCAUUUCCUCAUCGUCCAUGUCGUAGUCAUCGGGACCAUCACUAUCACCGUUGCCAUCGCCGGAGAAGACUCGACAAGGGUUUCUUCUAGGGAGGAAGAGAGGAGAUGCAGAUGGAGUGGAUUUCCGAUAGGGUAGGCUUGGGAGGUGGGGAAGAGAGGUUGUGGAGGAGAUGGAGGAGACUCAAAGAUGGUUGAUUGUGGGGGCGGCAACGCGAGGAGAGGAGGAAGACAGUGGAGUUCAUGAGGACGCAAACUCUGUUAAGCGGGCACCGAAGAAUUCGAACGCUCUUGUGUUGAGUUUGUUGAUGGAUACUGUCAGGUGGAUAAUGUUAAAAAUAAUUAAAAUGAAUAUUUUUAAAAACAUUCAAAAAAAUCGUUAAUAUUAUGAAAAUGGUCCAAUACUGUCAGUUUUGGGUCUACCAUUUAAAAAAUAGCAUACAUUUUUUUUAUAUUCGUCUGUUUUUCUCACAGAGACUAUUUUUUUCACAGCUUUAGCCGAAUUCAAUUAUGAGAUUUCUUAUUUUGUAUUUAAAAUUAAAAUAAAUGCUAUUAUAUAAUUACCAAAAUAUUUUCCAGCAAACAAUUUCAUAUAGUUGUGAAAAUAGGAACUCGUUUAGGUUAAGUUUGAACUUCAUUACUCUCAAAAUCUCUUAGAUUUAUUGAUUUUUGUGUGGGCAAAAUUGUUCUGUGUAUCCUCAAGCUUUUAAGUCUUUACAUGUAUUCUGCCUUGAACAAUUUGAUAGUUUAGAGCUUUUUUAAAGUUUUGUUAUAGGUUUUUUUUUUUUUUUUUUUGUGAAAUAUGAGGUGGCUGGAAUAUAAGUAGUUGGAUGUGUGCAUAUCUCAUUUUUAAAUUUUUUCUGGUGGUUAUCUGAUGAAUGUCAUAAAUUUCAUCAACCUAGGCUCAUUUAGAUUAGGAAUCUCGCCUGAGAUUGUUGAAAUUGGACUGAGAUUUGUUGAAUGAAUCUUAAGAUUGUUCUAUGUUUGUGUUCAUAUGCAUUAUGUGUUGGCUAUCGGGCUAGAUUUCACCCGAGAUUAACCAAGAUACAUCAUAGGAUGCAUAUAAAACACUAAUAUCGUGACAUCACAUGUAAAUAACCCAAGUACAUAGUGAAUUUAUGUUGUUCUUGACCGAGAUUGGAUCAAGAUUCCCUUGAGUUCUAAGACAAAGUACUUAUUUUCUUAUGUUACCUGUGUUCUCUGUUUGGUAAAUGCCUCUUGUCACUAAAAUUGCAAUUCAAACAUUUUCCUUCCAAAAUUGACAUGUUCUCACUCGGCGAAAACUAUCUCCAAUAUUAAAAACAAGUUAACUCCUAGGCAAUUGUAUAUGUUUAGGAAAACUCCAUUCAAUCAUUUCUUGGACAUUAGGUUGAUGAUCAGUGGAUCUUUGUGUCAUUACAUCUUGUUAAGAGAGUUUGAGGAUGAUCGAUGUGACAUUAUCAAUUUUAAAUUACUCAGAAGGUGUCUUUCAGACAAGAAGAUUUUGGCAUUAUUACGAGGUUGAGGUUGAGGUAUAGGUCAAGACAUGUUGUUGAGUUUGAACAGGAUAAAAGCUCUUAGAUUGAGACGCUUAUAUUUGGUUGGUAGGGCAAACAUGAAUGGGUCUAAAUUGGGUAAAGAUUACCAAAACCUUCAAUUUGAGAGUUACAAGCCUACGGUAUGAACCAUUUUUGUUCUUCUAAAGUUAUUUUUGUCACGAAUGAAUUAACCAUUUCUGUUCAAAUACCUAUAGUGACAAUAUUUUUUUAUAUUUUAUUAAGUUAUAUUUUCGAAACAAGAGUAUUUUAUGAUACAAAACAUUAAAGUUUUUCAUCUAAAUGCAACUGUAAGGGGCCGUUUGGGGAAAGAAAUGAAUAAGGGGAAAAGAAUAAGGAAAAUGGGGGAUUAAGUGGAGGAAAGGAUUAUUAUAAUCCUUGUUUGAGGGAAGGAUUAUGAGGAUUAUUUAUAAUCUUUGUUUCGGAAAGGAUUAAGUGGAAUGAUUGUGAGAGAUUAUUUAUAAUCUGGGAGAAGAUUAUGUCAGAAGGAUUAAAACCAAAAUUGUAUUUUUUUAUUAUUAUUUAUACAUUAACCUGAAUAUGAGAUUAAAUGUAGAAUUGUUUUUUUUCGUGUGAAUGAAAUUCUUUGUUUUUUUCGUGAACCCUAUACAAAAUGAAAAAUAUGCUAAUAUAUGUUGCAAACUUUGUUGAUACCGUUAAAGCCUCAACAAAAAAUUGUAUUCAAAUUAAUUUUUUUAGUUGGUAACCCAAGCGUUCACAAAAAAACACGAAUUGAUUUUGUUUGUUAAUUUUGUAUAAAUAUUUUUUUUACUUGUAACGUAUCCCUAAUACACUUUCAAAAUUGAAUUAGAUGUUUUCCAUGUGUACGAUAUGCUUAUGGAAUGAUUUCCAUAAACCAAAUACAAAAUAAAAUAUGUAUUAAUUUUUUUUGCGUUUGUCUAAACUUAUUUAUUUUUUUCGUACGGUUUUCAAGAAAUGAUGAAUAUUUAUAUUAAAAUAAUGUUUAUAUUUCAUUUCAACUGUAACCUCAACACACAACACAUAUGUAUUAAUUAUAAAGUUGAUUUUGUAAAAAACAAAUUUGGACCAUACGCGCAAUACACAAUACAAACAAAUUGUAUUAUUUUUUUCCAUUUGUGUAAACUAUGUUUCUCAAGUUAUACCGUAAAUAGAAGGCAAAAAAAAAAAAAAUUCUAAGUUUGUAUCGUCGAUCAUAUAGAAUAAAAAAUUGGAUUACGUUGGUUUUAUUUUAUUUUUUUCCAUUUCGAAGAUUUCUUUUUUCAUAUAUUAAUUUUUUUUCUCCAUGAGAAUGAUAAGCAACAUAAUAGCGGUUAAAGCCAACGACUAUUUUUUUGAAUUGCAAUUAACGAAAAACAUAACGGGCUAAUGCAAACUACAUGCAAGAGCUUACCUAUCUCACCACUUGGCAUUCUUAGUGGGGUAAGUGUCCUGCAUGCAAUAAGCCACUUGCAUAUCACAUGCAAGUGAUAAGCUUACCAAAUCUCAACAAAUGUUAUUAUUUAAAUUAGUCUAAGGACAAUAUGGUAAUUCAACAUUUAAAUCAAAUUCAAAGUUCGAGUUUUUCAAGCCCAAAGUCAACAUUUUGACUUUUAACCAUUUUGUCCAUCUUGACUAAUUUCAACCUUCCAAGCAUCAAUUCGUAUAAAUUUCUCCAAAAUUUAAAUCACAUUUGAAUAUAAAGUCAUCCAAAGUUUGAUUUUUCAAAGUCAAAAGUCAACAUUUUGACUUCUUACUUCUUUACCAUUUUCAUCAAUUUUGAGCUUCCAAAUAUGAAUUCAUAUUCAUAUUUAAAUUACAUUUAAACAUGAAGCUUUAUCUUAAAUUAUAAUCGAUGACUAUAUUUAAUUCUAACAAUUCGAAUUAUUCCAUCAUAAUGUUCUAAGUUGAUUCCUUAUGAGCUAGUGGGGGAACCUAAUGGAUCUAUAGAUCAAGGGUUAACGAUCUGAGAUUAACUGACUAAACUCUUUAGAUCGAGUUAAUCAACCUUCGUUAACUAAUGAGUCAUUCCACUAAAGUCACGUAGUUGCAUCCCCUCACUAUAGAUAUAUUUGUGUCCAUGUGAUAUACACAUGAUAAGUAAGUUAAUCUUUCACAAGUUGUUCAUGAUCUCGACUGGGUCAAAGCACUGUUUUACCCCGACAUUAUAUCUUUUUUCUUUAAGUCCCACUGAUCCACUAUUAAAUAAUUGGUUUUAGGUCCAACCUAUAAACUGAAUCCCUCUCGGGCCAAUGAAGGGUGGGGCCCUUGUUCAAGACUUGGAUUCAGUCAUUAAGGGAACAACCUAUCUACUAACCCUAGAGUGGUAGGAGUGAAUUCCGUCUUGCACCCUAUGUCCCUAGCUAUCCACCCGAUCUUACCCCUGAAAUGGGAGGCUUAUUGAGCCAACGCCAUUGAGCUGCCCUCACUUAUGCAGAUCUAUCAAUAAUUUCACGUGAACAGAAGUUCAUAGUUAGCUCAUUUUUAAGAUUAAGUUACAUUGGAUAUCUAUAAACGAAAUAGUCAGUUUUACAAAGUUAACGGUGUUAUAACUUAAAAGCGACUAUCUCAUGGUUCCAGUCUUAUGUCAACUCUUUACAUAGAAUGCCGCCACUUCCAUGUCUCUAUAUGAACGAUUUAGGAUCACAUCGUUUGUACUAACUACAAAGUAGGCCGCAUCAAUAGUAUCUCCCGAAUAAGGCGUCCAACCUUAUCCAUAUACUAUAGACCAUUUAGGCUAUGACUCAAACUUGAUCCACUUUUAUGUCUGUACAUAAAGUUCAAGUCUACAUCAUAGCCUCGAAACAUUAAUUUAUUGACUUUCAUACUAUAGUAUCAAUAAGACGAUUUUAUUGAACAAAAUUUUGAAUACAAACUACGAGUUUUAGGAUCUCAAUUCCAACACUAUAGAGUCUAAUGAACAAGUGUCACAAAUAUAUUCAUUAAGUGUUUUUUUUUAAUUAAUGGUGUACGAGUAACAACAGUUAACUAAACAACAUAAACAAACAAUUUAGAAACAAAAUAAGGAUAGAAAGUGAAAACUGAAAUGCAUCAUAAUGGCAAUAAAAUAGUAAUUUUCUCAAAUGUUCAGUUUAUGCAAUGUCAGAUGAAUGUCCCAUAUUACAAAAAAAAUGUAUAUAGUGUUCAUAUAUGUUACGUAUUAAAGGGAAGUCAUAUACAUUCAACAGAAAAUGACCUACGUUAAGAGAAUGUCGAUGUUUGCCUAGUACCUCGAAACUUUACUCUACGUACUCGACCGCACUACAUAAGACAGUGAUGAUGUGAGAGCGUACCUUAUAGUUCGUACCUAACGACGCGUAACAACAAUUGGCAAAUGAAAAGGUUAACAGGUAAAUGGGAAAAAUUAUACAAAAUGUAAAACAUUGUUGUAGUUUGCCUCAAAGAACGGUGGUUUGUUUAGUUAUAUGAAAUCCAACUUCAAAUGACAAAAAUAAACUCAUCACGGACAUACCAAUGCAAAGAGAUCUUAUUAAAUGUGGCGAUAUGAAGGGCAUUGAAUCCAUACGAAAUGCGGUGACAUGAAGGACAUGGAUAAAAUGUAAUGCAACAUACGAUAGAAAAUCAUUGAUGCAAACCUGUAUAACACACAUUAAAUGCAUUACAAUGAAGAACAUUCGAUGGAGAAACUGAAAACACACAACAAAAAUACGUACCAAUAUGGAAUGUCAUAUUGAAAGAUGAACAACAAUGGAUGAAAGAGUGACCAACAAAGCAGAAUAACAUCAAAUGAGGAAGGGGGGCGGUAUAUAUAAAGGAAGGGAGUAUCAAAGUUAGUGAUGCAACAACCUAAAAAAAAUAUUAAUACCACUGUUAAAUGUGAUGUGUUGACGGGAUAAGAAAUAGAAAAUGGAUGGUGAAAGAAGCAUUCAUAGGCAUGCCACACAAGUUAGAGACAGUCAGUGCAAGUGAAGGACAAAAAAAAAAUUAUUUUUUUUCUUGUUUUACACAAUAAAAGUGAAAGAUUUGUAAACAAUACACCGCCAAAGGUCUCCGAGUGCUUGAGUUGAAUUGAAGGACUACCCGUUAGAACGCUCCAUCUUCUUCUCUCCUUUCAUGAAAUUUUCUUUGAACCUCCUACUCUGCAUCUUUAUUUCCUUCAUUCACCUAGGCAUCCUUAAUCAUCAAAUAAAAAUAAUAGUAGGUUCCCACUUUUAAAGAUACGCUUUCCUUUCGUUCAAAACCUACUACGAAGAAAGCAUAACUUCUAUUUUGAUCUAUAUUAUCGACUUAUAUUUCAACAAAGCCUUUCAAGAUGUCCAAUCGAUCUAAGCAAUACUCCAUGAGAGCACCAUAAUCUGAUGAAUUUUUGACCUAUUCUAAAAGAGAUACUACAGCUACUUGGGCUUCUGAGACUAAGAAAACUGAAACUAAUGGAUUUCUCACUCUAGUUCUUCUAACUGACAUGAAACUCCUUUAUAGUUGCCAACCUCUAUAUAGGGCAGAUACAGUUGAGUAUAAAAAUAAAAGGGUCGUUGAUGUCUAAGGCCACUGAAAGAGAAAGAGUUGCAACCACUUACCCUAUUUUAGUGACUUCUAUAGGUCGAGCUAUUCAAACCUCUCUUGAAAUCUUGUAAACAAAGAGAUCAGUCAAGAAUCCAAAAUACUGAUGAACACACAUCGUCGUAAAGAGAGAGAGAGAAAUUCUCUUAUUAUCAUAAUCCUUUUUUCGUGAUCGAUCAUCUCUCAAGAAUAUCUCUGUCUUAUGGCACCUCUCCUUUCCAACUAAAGAAAGUCAAAGAAGAGGAGUAGCAACUUCUCAGGGAUCUCAGUUCUGCAAAAGCAAGAGAAAGCCUAUGCAAAAUCAACCACAACAGCAAAAGAAUGUCCUUCAGCAGCAAGGUGAAGGGAAUAUUGCAUUCUUCAUUGAUUCGCUUAAGGGGCUAGUUAAGGGGUCUCCUCAUUUAACCUAUCAUUCUCCAAGUCCGCCUCUCUUAUGCUUUGUGAUUGAUCUGAGAUGAGGACAACUGUGGUUAAGACAAUGAUUGCAUAAGGAAAGACAGACCCUAUGGUUAGAGAUAUUCCCUACUCAAUUUGGAUCCAAGGGAAAGCUUCUUCUUGAAAUAGUACUUUUGACUACUCACUUUCAGUGAUCGUAACCUAAUGGAUGGAAGAAUUUCGUACCUCCUCAAAGGAAAGAUUACAUUGGGGUCCGUCCCACUCUUUCAAGGCCUUUCUUCUCAGGCAUAAAGAUAGGGCUUUCUUUAGCACUAUUGUGAUUUACUACUACAUGGUAGUGUAGGCUACCGUCCUUAUGCUUUUCUGUGGAUUUAGAAAGCACUUGAACAGUUUCCACAUCCGCUGUGAAAUGAGCUCCAACGAACUUUCCUUUCUUCCUUUGAGGCCUGAGACAGAUCAAUUUAUAAGGGCUACAAUUCUUAUAGUUCAUAAAGAAAUUCACUCUUUAGUCUAUUCCCAAUCCUAGUCCUUUGAGAUUUUUUAGGUUCUGUGUACUAGACGUCGUCGACCCUCUCAAACGUGGAAAAGACUCUUUCCUCACUCAUUGAGCUUGAAAAAGUAGCCCACGUAGCGGUAUUCAGCCUUCACCCCCACUCUGCGGUUGAGGCAUUUGUUCUCGAAGGAGAAGCAUAGUGACUCAACUAAGUUUACGAACAAGAAGGCGCCAUAAGGCGGGAACAAAGAAUAUUGCUCAAAGGUUUUAGCUUUAUUUUUAUGUGGGCCACUCUUUUUCUAUGGAGGCAAAGACCAUCUCAAACUAUCUUAGAAGAGGCAGAAAUUGAGAGGCAAUGCCUGCUCUCGUGGCGGCCUUAUCUCUUCUUAUGGCGCUUCUACCAGUGGAGGUUUCAAUCCUUCUUCUUUUGAAGGAGAAAGAUGCCUUAUGCAUGCAUUGGCCUCUAGCAUAUUUCUUUAUUUAUUGGUCAUAUGUCAAUUUUUCUCCCCUGGUUUUUCUUUCUAUUUGCCUUAUCAAAUAAGAAGCGCAACCCUCAACAAAGGCGACAACUUAAACAAGGGCUACUGCCUCUCCCUCUACAUCCCUUUCCUUUCUUUAAUGGGGAAAAGAUUUUCAGAGAUCUUAUUCAAGAUCUAAACACUGGAAAGGAGCGCCUCCUUUCCUUUCCCUUCGCCUUCAUAAGUCAGGCUAUGAAAAUAGAUUGUAAGUGAACCGCUUACCAUUCAGACUGAUCUAGGAGACGGGUCGAGGUGUGGAGUUUUCUUCUUUCUUGCUUUGACCUAUCCCACGGUCUUUUGAGCUAGUCUACUUUCUCUCUGCGGUUAGCUUCAGAAACUACCCCACUGAGAGGUGGAGCAUAACCUUUCCAGGAGAUCGAUACCCUGAUCUCGCUCAAGUAAUAAGAAGAUAAAGUGCUCAAGACUAUGUAAGAAGAUAUGAAAAAAAAUCGAAUUUUGAAAGCUCUGAUCUUUCAUACUCUUAAUUAUACCUACGAAGCGGUAGGCUGAGCACCUUGAUGUAUAGGCGUUAUGAAUAUGAGUGAUAGCUUCCGAUAUGGAAAGGGGAAAACAGGACCCACUUGAGGGAUUUUGAUGACUCUAGUCAAGAAAUAAGAAAAGAAGAGAGUAAAGUCGAGUCCUCUGAUUCUCAUCCACUUCUCCAACUUCGUCUCCUCAACUGCAUAAGUUGCAGGUCUCUUUCUUCUCCUCGUUCAUAAUGCACACCUCUUCCCUUUUCAUAAUAAUCUUUUGAAUAGUCAAGAUCAUCAUAAAAAACCUUGUCAGUCCUGUCUCAACUUCUCCAACUCACUCGAGCCUAACUACUCUCCUUCUCUCUCUUUCAUACUAAGUUGAUAGUGAAAAGAGAGAAAAUUACUAGUUGGGAAUUCGACCUUUAAUCAUAGAUCUCAUGAAAGAGAUAAGGCUACUUCUCUUCCUGCAACUAAAAGAAGAAGAAUCGCAACGGCCAAAAUCCCUCACACAGGAUGAAAAUAAUACUUUUAUUUAUCUACAUUGUUAAAAGAAAGUUCAAUAUUAUUUUUUUAGUGGAAUAAGACUCGUCCUCUUACAUACUCGUCCUUCCAGUCGUCUGAACCAAGCAUAUCCUUGUCUUAUGGAGCUUUGUCUCUGCGCAAACAUUAUUUUUCAUAGUCGAAUAAAAUAUCAAAAGAGAAAGAGAGAAUCAUUUAUGAAGAAGAAAUCAUUCUCAAGAUCUUCUUUUUCUCUCUCUUCUCAAUGAAUUGAGGCUUCGAACCUGCGAAAGUGCUCAAGAUUAUUAAAGAUAGAAUAAUGAAAUAGUAGUUUCUCAAGCUCUUAUUAAAGACAUAAGUCGUUUAUUACCACAUUCCGAAAGAGAUCAUGAAAGAGAAAAGAUAAACGAAUGAAAUUUUCCUAAUCCAUAAAUCUCAAGUGAAGGACUAAUCAAAUGAGUUCAAAGAGAAGAAGAGGUCAAUUGCAUAAAAGAAUGAGCUUAUGAGUUAGAGAUGGAAGAGUGAAGAAGAUAGGAGGCCAAGCCAAAAGUCAUCAACAAGCCGUCGGACCCCAAAAAGAAAGGUCUAGAUGAAAAGGAAGAAAAGGAAAUGGUCGAGUAUUCUGUCCCAGUUAAGCCUAAGACCUAGGUGAAUGAAUCUUGAAGGGUGCCUGAUUUGCCUAUUAGGUAGUAGUAGUCUUGGUUUCAUUGUAUUCCCCAUAUCGAAAGGAAGUUCAGCCUAGGGUUAGGUGCUUUUUCCUUAUUCAGCAAAUGGAGCAGAGCAUAUGAGUCCUUUCAUGAAUCAGAGCUGCUACAGAAGAUUGACUGACUCGAUCCUCUGAUCCUACUCUACAUCACGGAGAAAUAAAGCAGAAAUCUUCUUUCACACGCAACUCACGUCAGCUAAGGAUACUCUUUCUUCCCGUGUUGUAGGUUGACUUUGCACCUAAAUCAGUCGAGAUAUUUUUACCUAUCUUUAAAAGGCGAAGAAAUUGCAAUCCUCUUUAUUUAACUAACCUCCUCAAAAGAGCUGGUCUCGUAAGAUGCCGGUGUUUAUGGACCUUUGUUCUUUGACCGCCUUGAUUUUAGCAUCUGAACCUCUUUAUAGGCUUAAAUAAUGAUCGAAGGACUUCUAAAUUCAUAUAGGGAUCUAGACGGAUGAAAGUAGGGAAAUCCAAGUAUAUAUAUUUACAGACUAAGAGGUUCAAAGGCUAAAAUCAAGGGAAAUUGGGUCUUAUGAGGGAAUAAAAUUGCAUUUUUCCUUAUGGAAAGGAGGAAGAACACAAUAACUGUCUUUUCCCUUGAUUCCACUCAAGCACUCAAUCACCACAGAUCAUAUUAGAGGGUUCGAGAGCCACGGGCAAUUUCAGCCUACCUUUCCCUUGCUCAAUUUCAGCCUCCUCAAAAUAACUGUCUUGGGUGCGCCAGCAAGAGAAAAGCCUAAAAUCAAAGCUCUAGAUGAGUUGAACUUUCUUAUACGUUGAAAAAGGUUAAUGCACUCAAUCAAUAAUCUCUUAUUCUAUUUGAUUUUCUAAAUGAAGAAAGCAUGAAAGAAAUUCAUAAUCAAGUAAAAGUAAAGAAGCAGAGCGGUUACGAGACCAGUUGCAGGCUAGGUUUUAAGGGUCGCAGUCUUAGUUGUCCUGGAAGUCGUUCAAGUGUCGGAUGCUCAAUCGGUAAGCUCGUUCAUGUCUGAUUUGUCGUCGACCUUUCUUCUUUCUCUAUUUACUGGGAUUUUCUUCUCUGGGUUGAUUUUGUCCACUAAGUUUGGACCCCUUCUAAUUGGACUUUUGUUCUCUCUUCUACUGAUCUAUAUGGAUACAUCAGUCUCAUCCCCCCAUAAUCAAGUAGUGUCCACUAAAAAAGAGCAUAUGAAAUCUUUUUGUCAUCGAUAAGGUAUCGUUUCUGGGUUUAGGUGCGGGGAAUACUUAAGAGGGUAAAAGAUCCCACUUUCUAGUAUUCCUCACAUGCUUUUCGUCUUCAAUUAAGGCCUUUGUUAUCAUCCAUGGUUAGAUCGGUGAAUGCGAGAAGAGGUGGCCUAUUUCCUUAUUUCUUUCCUUUUUAUCUAAUAAAGAACCUUUUUGGACCCUUGAAUUAAGUGAAAGGCCUAGGGCCUUGGCACUACAAUUCCAUGAUUUUGCGCAUUCCCGCAGAGCUCCUUUUUAGUGGACGCUACUUGAUUAUGGGGGGAUGAGACUGAUGUAUCCAUAUAGAUCAGUAGAAGAGAGAACAAAAGUCCAAUUAGAAGGGGUCUAAACUUAGUGGACAAAAUCAACCAGAGAAGAAAAUCCCAGUAAAUAGAGAAAGAAGAAAGGUCGACGACAAAUCAGAUAUGAACGAGCUUACCGAUUGAGCAUCCGACACUUGAACGACUUCCAGGACAACUAAGACUGCGACCCUUAAAACCUAGCCUAAUCUAUAGAACUAAAGAGAAAGAACAAGGGUCAAAGAAUGAUCGAGGGCUACUUCCUAUGUGACUUCUACUUCUCCUAGUUGCGCAAGAUCUCUUGAUGGUUGUCUAGGCUCACCUACUUCAUCUUUUCAUGCUCCAAUGACUUUUUCUUAUGGGUUUGAAUCUCAUGAAUGUACCAAAUGGACUAUAAUCCCUGGUUUCCAUCCAAUGUGAGAGGUCAAAUCUACAAAAUGAAUUUUGAAAGUUUGCAACCCAUCCGUUAGGACCCAUAUAGAGUUAAAGAAAAAUCAAGCUCCGGAUGAGUUGAAAUUGAGUCGACCUAAAUAAAGAGAGAGAAGAGAAAGGCAGACUGGAUACACUCUCCCUGUGAAUGGAAGAAGUUUUCAUGGAAUUCAUGACCUGACCUAUCUUUGAUACAUUCUUAUAUGAGUCCGACUAUCCUAACUCCGAUUCUUAGGCUUUUUUUCGCUCACAUAUUAAGUUGCAUAGAACACCUGGACUUAAAGGAGAGGCGAAGGAGGAGUUGACAAAGAAUAUUGAGAAGUAAAUGAGUGAAUUGCAAUUCCAGGAAAAAGAGAAAGAAGAAAGGCGGCGCCCUUACCGAUCCCACCAUGGAUGAAACUCUCUUCAGUUCGAAAAAGACUAUAAAAAAGAAAUAAGUCAAGAAGGAAAGACCUCAUACAAUAUUCUUUGCACCUCAUACCUUCCGCCUCAAUGAAUAAGGGGGGAGGGAUCAAUUGCGACGGACAAUACACACUUGAUUUAGUUCGAAUGAACUUUGAUCAUUCUUUAAGCCUCUAAUACUUGCUUUAGAGAUAUUGAAACUUAUGCUACAAUAUGGGUUGCCUCCACCUGAUCGAGUUACCACCUCCUCGUCCACUUUCUGAUGUAAGAUUGAGAAUAGAGAAUGAUCAUAAACGAGAUUAUGAAUCUCAUGAAUUCACUAAGCUUUCCUACUUUCUCUACCACUUCUUCAACGAGAACAACCGCCUCAAUGAACAAGGGUGAGACGGCCUCUUGUCUUUCCUUUCGCCCAUGCCUACCUAGCUCUCCCAAGUAUUCAAUGCUCUUAUCCAAUGAAAAGUCAUGAAUUGACAUGGUGGAAAGCUGCUCCACGGGGAGGAGCGGAAGGUAUGAGACGGGUGAACUACCCACUCAAAGGAUCAGUUAUUUGCUGGGGUACGCGUAAAUCAUCGUCAGAUGUUUCCGUCUUAAUAAAUGGGCUUUCUUUUCUUAUUCAAUAACUCAAUUCAGAACUCAAAUUAGAAGCAAUCGACGACUAGAGAUUGAAAGGAGAAGUUUCCUAGUAGGGUCGAUCGAUCAACUUUCACUUUCAAUAGGAGGAUGCAGCUCCCUGGCAAUCACAAGUAAGAGGGACUGAUCGAGCCACUGCCUCUGAAUUCAAAGCCUGUCAUGUCCCCACCCAUGACACAGAUGAACAAGUAAAGUAGACAAACUCAUUAAAGUAGACAAUGACUCUGCCUUUAAAGAAGAAAGAAUGGAAAGUCUGAAAGAAGAGAACUUUUAUCGUAAACACUAAGGUGCAUCCUCAAUGGAGCAUUCCUUUCUCUAGAGCUAGAAAGGAAACGGGAGAUCUCGAAGUGCGGCUUGUCUCCGACCAGUGAUUGAAUGAUUUAUAGACGAUGCCUUUCCCGUGUAGUGGGCCUUAUGAGAGAUCCAAUUCGGGUCUUGGGGAGGUUUGGGAGUUUCUUUCUUUUGCCUUUAACUUCUACCUUGUCUGGUCAUCCUACUUCUGCAUUCAUUCGUAUAUAGAAAAUAUGUCGCUUUUAAGCUAAGCAAGGACACCAAAAGGAAUUCUAUUUCCCCUCCUAUCGAGUUGAAGUAGAAAAGUUUGAUUCAUGAACUAGUCCAUCUCGAACUCGACAAGACGCACCCUUAGCCUCAUCUCAUAGGUUGCUGAUUAGGUCAUUUCGCUCCGCGUAGAAGAAGGUUGAAUGAAUAUGAGUUCCCAAAGGCUAAUUAAUUCAAUGAAAAUACAUAAGAAAGAGUACAAAUGUCCCACCAAUUCAAUCCUUUGAACUUCAAAACCGAAGAGAAAGGACUCGCCCACUCCGUUGGCUCCUUAAUUAGGGACAUAAGCUAGGGCUUGAUCUAAAUCAUAUGUCGAAAGAGCAUCUUUUGGUUCUGGGAUCUCCGCCUUCGUUGAUUGGUUUCUAACCUUUGAGCGAGGAGAGUGAUUUCAUUAGCAAACUAGAAAGAUUCGUAGAACGCACAAUUUCAAAUGAAAGAUCUGGAAGAUGCACAAUACAUUCUCAGAAUCCAAAUUGUUCGGAACCGAAAGAACAAAACACUAGCCAUGUCUCAAGCAUGUUAUAUAGACAAAAUGUUGUCUAGGUAUAAAAUGCAGAAUUCCAAAAAGGGUCUGUUGUCAUACAAAUAUGGAGUUCAUUUGUCAAAGGAAUAAUGUCCUAAGACACCUCAAGAAGUUGAGGAUAUGAGAAAUAUACCCUAUGCUUCCGCUGUUGGAAGUUUGGUGUAUGCAAUGUUAUGUACUAGACCUGACAUUUGCUACUCAGUAUGGUGGUCAGUAGGUAUCAAUCCAAUCCUGGAUGUGAUCACUAGACAACCGUUAAGAACAUUCUAAAAUAUCUUCGAAGAACAAAAGACUACAUGCUCGUGUCUUGUACAAAGGUUUGAUCCCUAUUGGAUACACUGAUUCUGAUUUUCAAACUGAUAAAGAUGCUAAAAAGUCUACAUCAGGAUCAGUAUUCACUCUAAAUGGAGGAGCAGUAGUUUGAAGAAGCAUAAAGCAAACUUGUAUAGUUGAUUCCACAAUGGAAGCUGAAUAUGUAGCAACUUGUGGAGGAUUUAAAAGUCGCGCGCUCAAUAGAGACCCUUUAUGGGGUAUUCCAGUUCGAUAACAAGUGAAAAGAAAGCAGCAACAAGUUGAUCGCUAACUCAUGAGCCUUUCCGCUUGGGUGCUUUCUUCAUCCAUCGUACAAAAGUACUUGAAUUCAUAGAAUGUGAAAAACUCUAAUUUAUUCGAAAAGGAAGAACAAAAGUAGAAUCUCCAUCCCAGUCGAAUUUCUACAUAAAUAGACAUCUUUGUGAAAGUUAUUGUUUUCUUUUCCCAUUUUCGACACACAAGAAGCCAAAAAUACAAAUAUAGUGUACAAUAAAAGGAAGAUGAAAAAGAGAGACUAGUACAGAGACAAAAUGCAACAAACAGAUACACACAAACUUCUUUUCCAAUUUCUACACAUAAUAAGUGAAUGAAAAAAAUAUAAGCCACUGACAAACAAAUGAAGAAAGAAAAUGACCAUUGACAAAGACUAACGAUUGUGAACACUUUAAGAUCCAACAUAGAACAAAAUAAAACCACUAAUAAUGAAGAUCAAAGAGAACACAUGGAAUGAUCGUUUCAAUUAAAACAAUAUGAUAUCCGGGAAAAUAAUUAAUCAUCGGCAGACGAAUAGAAGGAAGAAAUAUUACCUCGGCCCUACCUUGCUCGGAACCACCAAAGCCACAACCCUCGGUUAGUAUCCAUCACUGAUCAUUAGAGGGAAGGCCGUCGCAGCCACAAAGGUUAAUCGAGCGGCAAGGAAAAUACAAUGAAUAAUGUCCGAGAAGCAAGUCCAUAGGUCAAGCCAUGCAAGGAAGUAGUCACCUAGUCGACCAACGCCCGACCAAAGAUAAGGCAUUAGAGGCCGCUUAUUUCUAAACGUAGCCUGUCAACGACAACCACACCCAUGGGGGCAUCGGAGACCGACAAACAAUAGGGAAAAAUGUAAGGUUUACAAAAUCGGUGUGGAUCAAAAUACCGUGAAGAAGAUGAUGUUGAACGAUGGAGAAAAACCAGUGAGUGCCGAAGAGGGUAAAAAUACUGUAAGAUCUAGGGAAGUAGGUUGAGAGAUAGACCGAUUUUGGGGAAAUAGAUUUGGGCAAAAUAGAGAGAGGAAAAGUGUGUAGAAGAAGAGAGAACCAUUGCUCGAGCAGAUGUAGAAGGAAUAAGGAUGAUUAAAUUUAGUCAUUUUCGGUGAGCCAAUUUCAUUGGAAUAACAAGAGAUAUAUCAAUGUUUUAAGGGUCAUUUUGAAAAAUGGCAAAACUUCUUUUUCUUUUGAAUUUUAGCAAAUAGCAUUUUUUGCACGUGCAUUAUAUUUUAUAAAAUACCAAAAUAUUCCCUUCUCCAACUAUAAUUAUUUCGUUUCUACAUUGUAAUUAAUUUAGGUUAUGCAUUUAUCUGCUUUUAAUUAUUUUUUACCUCGAGAAGAUACAACAACCCAUAUCAUAACUUUUUUUUCUUAAUAUCUCGGGACUCAACUAAUUGAUUCAACAUUUUAAUAACUUUAUUCAAUCUUACUAAUUUCAAAAUAACCAAAUUGACUUUGAAUUUCAAAAUAACCCAAUUAAAUUUCAAAAUAACAAAAUUAUUAUUUUUCAGAAUUUGAGAAUCUCAACGAUAGAUUUUGUAUCAAAAUAACCUUAAUUAAAUUUCAAAAUUAAAAAAAUAUCACUUUGUUUGCUAUCUUAUCUCAAAAUAACAUUAAUGGCUUGAAUACCAAAAUAACUUAACAAUUAUUUUGAAAUUGGGAGAAUCUCAACCUUAAUUUUAUUUUAAAAUAAAUUUCAAAAUAACCAAUUUACUAAUUUUUGAAUUGGAGAAUCUCAACUAUUGAUUUUAAAACGCAAUUUCAAAAUAACCCAAUUAUUAUUUUGAAUUUAGGAGAAUUUCAACCAUUGAUUUUAUUUCAAAACAACGUUUUAAUACCAAAAUAACAUUGAGCUCAAUCACAAAAAUAACCAAUUUAUUAUUUUGAAUUAAAAUUUUAUUGUCAUUUUUUUCAAGUGAGAACUUGCUUAUUUGUUUGUUUUCCAAUGUUUCUUAUUCUUAUUAAAUUAUAAUUAACUUAUUCUAAAAAUAUAGCAUAUUAUAUAUAUAUAAAAAAAAAAUAGUUUAAUUGUGUUUAGGAAGAUUUUUAAACCAUGUUCAUUUGACUUAAUAACACUAAUUAAAUUAUAAUUUCUAUCCAUAUUAGUUUAAAAGUAUAAUUAUUUCAAUAUAAUGCGGUCUUAUCAAAAGUCUUUUAUGUGUAAUUAAUUUACAAUAUACAGUUAUGAGUUUAUCAAAGUUUUUCAUUAUAAUUAAUUUAUGAUAUGCAAUUUCGAGUAUACAUGUUAAUAACGUAGAGAAUCAUAUCCUAACCUCUUCCUAAUAUCUCAGAUUAAAAAGAUAUCAACAACUUUAUUCUUUUUUUUAUUCCACCAGUGUUAAAGUUCUUAACAACUUUAUUCAUUUUUUUAUUUCAAAAUAAUCAUAUUAUUAAUUUUUAUCGGCUAAAUCUCCAUGUUUUCGUCAACCUUUAAUAAAUUGUAAAUUAAAAUUAGUUUUCUAAUUAGAUCUUAAUUUACUUUUAAAUUUUGAAUUUAAAAAUUAAAAUUAGUUUUUGUAUCAAGAUUUCAACAUUUUUUUAAUUAUUUGGAAAUUAAACCUCACCUUUUUUUUUUGUUUUAAAAUAAGUUCAAUUUUUCCAUCCUUAAUAAUUUAGAAAUUAAAAUUAGUUUUCAUAUUAGAUCUUAAUUUAUUUUUCCAAAAUAGCCCAUGUUUUUGUAUAAAAUCUCCCAAAUUCCAUCUACAUUUUAUUAAAUAAUUAAUAUAAAUAUAUAUAUUUUAAAAAAUCAGCUAAAUUUUUUUUAAGAGACGAGGAAGAUAACUUUUGUAUUUUUUUGCUCUAAGUGAAAGUUUUUGUUUUUCCACCCGAAGCGUUUGAGAUAGACUUGAAAAUCAAAGAUGGAAGAUGGAAAAUGAAUAUAAUAUUUGCAUGCUUCAAAUAUUUAUAUUAUUCUUUUUGAAAAUGCACGAUGAAGUUUCUUUUUUAAAAUGCAUGAUGGAGUUGAAGAUAAACCUCAAACUUCAAACGGAAGAGGGUAAAGAUUGGAGGUUGCCGCUUCAAGGUGGAAAGAUUAGGGCUUGUCCACUCGAGAAAGAUGAGAUCAAAAAAGAAAAAUGGAUAUGAAGGAAGAGAAAAUGGAAGAUGAGAAACGAAAAAUAAAAAAAAAAUGUAUUUAUUAUAUUUUAGGGUAGUUUACACUUUAUCUACUUAAUGGUAUUUUGGGUUUUUGCAAAUUCUUAUUUAUUGUUUUUCUUUUUUUCAUUUGGUCAUUUUUGAACUUUAAAAUUGCUAUUAUUCUUUAAAAGUACGUUUUUGGAAAUUUUUUUAGAUAUCAACGCCAAGCACUGGAUGAAUGUGCUACAAAAGCUCAACUUCCUUUCACAAAACCCUUCAGCCAUUCACACUCUCAAUCUUUCAUCCCUCCAAUUUCUCACAAAAUCCUCUCUCUCGUCGGACUUCCAUCGACACAGAAAGUAAUCGAAGCAACUCUCCAACUUCUGAAGCCCAAACCAUUUGCUGGAGCUAAUGUGUUCGUCUCUCGUAAUCUUGUCGCUUCGGAGAUGUUCGAUCCUUUUCACGACGCUCUCAAGCAGAAUGGGGCUGAGGUUUUCCUUUGUUGCGAUCCCUCUCAAAACGCCCCUAACGACUAUCAUGUUAUCUCCUCCGCCGAUCACGUACCAAACGUCUCAUCCAUUUCUUGUUCAAUUUAUAUGGCUACUUCGGAUUGGCGAUGUGUUUAUUGGUUGUUGAUUCCUGCUUUCAGGCAAAGUUCGAGGAUCUUCGCGCCAAGGGAUGCAACUUGUUAGGUAUAGUUAAUUUGUAGUUCCAGCCUUUUCUUUCUUUAUUUUGCGGAAUAGAAUUGGAGAGAAAUUUUCGACUGGAGAAUGAGAUUAACAGGAAAUUGAAUGUCUCCAUUAAUUUGUCAAAUGUAUAGUUACCGAAUUGCAGUUAAUAUUUGUCAGUGCAUGCUGCAUGUACGCAGUAGCCGAGUAAUAUAUACUUCACUGCUCUCUCUUUCCGAAUAGCCAAACAUAGUUGUUUGAAAUUCUCAUUUCAGUCCGACGCCGGGGAUUUGGUGCGUCGCUGACAACUUGAAUUUCUGUUGGGAAGGUCCUCAGUGCGUGAUGUCAUGUGCAAAAAGAGCACAGACCUCUUCCUCAACAGGGUUAUACUUGCUGCCUUGCCAUGGAUGGUGUGAAAAUCUUGGCAUCCGGUUUUCAGGAAGAUGAAAAGGUACGUUGCAAAUGUUCCUAGUCCACCCAUCUUUUUUCUUAUUAGUAAUUAGUAAUUUUAUUUUUGUAGAACUAAUGACACAAAAUUGCAUUGCAGGUUGAGAUAGGGAAGUUAGUUAGUGCAAUGGGGGGAGUAUUGCUUACGAAAGCAUCGCUAGAUGUCAGUUUUUUUUCUUCACUCUGUCUACAUUUUGGAAAUAUGAAUGCUAUCAUAGUGUGAGAGGUUUCUUUAUCGACAAAAUUAAUUGGAGUUCGAAAUUUGAAGAAGUCUUUCUAUGACUGUCCCUUGAACUCCAAAGGUUUGCACUCCAUCCCUGUGCCAAACAAAUAGAUGCUUCUUAAAUAUUUUUCUGGAGGAAUUGAGAAAGUAUUGAUGCAAACUUCUGUUAAAUGCGUUAAAUUACGACUUUCAAGCCAAUUUUGAAUGGAUAGCCGGAGUAGAAACUGCAAUUAUUGAUGAAAUUUGAUACUACUGAUGAUUUUUAUUUUUAAUUUUAUAUUAUUAUUAAUUUCGUAACUUAAUUAUGUUCAAUAUCUUAAACCGAUAUUUGAAAUGAGAAUUGAAUAUUUAUCUUGUUUUUAUUUGUUACUGACUAUUUCAAAUAAAUUCGUUAUGAAGGAUGGAUGUUUCUGGGAUACCAAUGGGCACAUUCUCUAUUCUCCUCUUCCUUGUUGUGUCCCUUUGCCUGGAUUUGAAAACAUACGGUUUUGUGUUUCACAAUAUGAUGAUAAAAGACAGAGUAUUGUUAAGAAAUCUGUGUUUUGUACUUGGGGCCAAGUUUGUGGAGAAGCUGACAAAGAAGGUAACCCAUCUAAUAUGCAAGUUCACGGAUGGGACAAAGUAUGAGGCUGCUUGUAAAUGGGGGAAACAAUGCAUUACAGCUGAAUGGAUAUAUGAGUGUGUCAGACAAGUAACUUUGCGAUUUUGUUGCUUUUCAAUUAUAUAUGUUCAUAUACAUGCAUAUCCUGAUAGAAUUCUAGACCCAUUGUGUUUAUAUUUCUUCUCUUAGAUAUGGAAUGAUUUUGUUUGAAAACAAAAUUUUCAGAGAAAGAUUGUUUCUCUUGAUUUGUAUCGCCCAAAAGAAGUUACAGCUCAAGACAGAGUGACAUGCUUGUGCACUGUCAGCCAAUUUCCUACUCAAGCUGCCCCAAUGAUAGCCAAUGAAAGCGUAUCCCAGUUUCCUAUCCAUUCUGCCAUUCUGAGAGACCAAUCAGCUGGAACUAACAGUAGCUCUAUAGGAGCAGCUGAACGAAUAAGUUAUACUAAAAGAAGGCGCAAGUUAUUUGACGAAGCCAUACUUUGCGUUCAGUUUUUGUUGGAAACAGUUCCACUCAAUCUGACUGCAAUUUGAAUUCCACAAAACAAACUACAUCAAAAUCUUCUGUAGUAACUUCACACGUUCCUGAUGUCGCUUCCGCAAUCGAGGACUUGUUGGAGCAGAAAACUAAGGUAAAAUCUGGUUUGAGCUUCAAUUCCAUUACUUCAUUCCAUUUUUAUUAUUAUUUUUUCCUUCAAAUCCUUCUUUUUUCCAUUCUUUUUAAGAUUCAAGAUCAGAAGUCACCUGGAAAGACUGGCUGCAACAAAAGUGUAUCCUUCUAUUAGGUUUAAACUGACUAGUGGACAUGGCCAUUCUUAGCUCUUACAUCCAAAGCAGUUAGUCGUACGAGGACAAUUUCUUUUUCUUUAUCUGUUUUACUGAGUCAAAAACAGCCUUUAGGUUUCAUUAUUACAUUCUGGUGGAGCGAGAGAAAGAACAGAAUCGUCAAAGGGUGUGAGAGUCCUUAUUGCGAUGUUUGAUCCCUUACUGGAUUCUUUGUUUCUUCUGGGACAUUUGUUUUGUUAUUAUUUGCUAGACCUUAUCUCUUUAUUGGAGCCUUUUUUGCACUUUGGUUCUUUUUGUGGGCUUUCUUUUUUAUGUCCGUUUAUUCUUUCAUUUUUUCUAAAUGAAAAUUAAGUUUUUUUUUUUAAAAAAGAAAAAGUUAUUAAAUGCAUCUGCAUUUAAAUAGUAUCUAGUGAUAGACUUUAGUAUCUUAUCGUUGGUUCCCACUCCACCUAAUCUAUUAUUACAUGCAUCUGUGUGCUUGUGUUCUAAUUCCUUCUAAACUAUUUUUACGGGAUUUUCAUAGCCAUGUCUUUGAAGAACUCCCCCUUUUCCUUCCCCAGAAGAAAGUUCACUCACAGUAUGUUCAUUCAGCUGUUGUGAUUAGUUUGUAGAAUUGCCCAUGGUUUAUCUUUUUUGGUAUUUUCAAUUCAUUUUUAAGACAAAUGUUGAUGUUUUAUUUUUGGUGUAGCUGACUUACUUUGCCAUGGACUAUAAGAGCUAAUUGUUCAAACACGUGAAUUUAGGUUCAUCAUCAAAAACCACCGUAGCCGAUCGUGGGGAUCCUAACGAUCCCCGAGUAAGAUUAAAACGUGAUUGCGUUGGGAUUAUGGAUGCUUUCAAACUUGAGCAGCCUUUUCAUCAUGUUGUAAUUCUAGCCAACACCCAUCUUUAUUGGUAAAAUUUUACUUUCUAGUUUCCUUUGCCCUUAUCUGUAAAGUCUAUAUGAUUGCUUUUAGGACCUGCUGUAUUGAAGAACAUCUUAUCCAUCCAAUAUGUAAAGAAAUGGAUAUUUUGUUACAGGGAUCCAGAAUGGGCUGAUGUGAAGCUCGCUCAGGCUAAGUAUCUUUUAUCACGCCUAGCUCGAUUCAAAUCUUUAGUUGCUGAAAAUUUUGAAUGCACACCCUCAGUACUUUUGGCUGGCGAUUUCAAUUCAACCCCAGGAGAUAAGGUUUGUAUUCUAUCUCGAUUUAUCAUUUGCAUUGAAUUUCCUCUUUCUGAAGAUAUGGUAUAUAGCUAUUUCAUUGUUAUUAUCAUGUCUAAAUUACAAGUUUAGUCCCUUGAACUUUGUGUCUCCUUGAUUGCUUAACUUUCCAAAAGUGUCUAAAAGAUCUGCAUGCUUUCAAUUUUGUGUAACCAAGUCUUAAAAUUUUAAAUUCAUACAUUUAGUAGGUUCUGUUAUACAGGGUAAAUUUAGAUCUAUUAAAAACAUAAUUGAAAAUUCAUAGAUUUGUUGGACACAAAAUUGAAAGUUUAAGGACCAAGUAGAUACUGUUUCAAGUUUAGGACUUUUCCAUACAAAAUUGAAAUUUUAGAGAUCAAAUAGAUAUAAACCUCAAAAUUAAGGACUAAACUUAUAAUUUAACCAAUUGUUAUUGAGUAUAUAGACUUAUUUUUAGGCGAAGUGCUAUAGAACGAACUGAUGACCAUAAAGUCACAGGGUGACAUGAAAAGUACUAUUGUAUGGAAUCUCAUAUAGCAGAAACAUAUAAUAGAAAAAUAUUUAGAUAGCUUAUAUUAUCUUUCAAAAAAUAUAAACUACAUAGUUUAAAAUGAAGAUGAACGGUAAAGAGUUUGAUGCUAUAACGUUCUUAACCACACCACCUUUGAAAAUAAGUAAUCUAGAAACUUACUGGUUUCUGUUGGUGCAAAUGUGAACCGAAGUUCAAAGAUUGUUCUCUUAUUUUUUUGUCUCUUGUUGGAGAUCAUCUCUUAUAAUUUAUUUUUUAUGAAUGUUAAAAAGUUCAUUUGUUAAUUUAAAGUCUGAACAAAUGUCUGUUCCACCGUAGUCUCAAAUACCCUUAUAAAUUGUUAGCAUGGGCAUUUUGGUCCCUCGUCCUUUUAAGUCUAGUUUACAUUUAGUCCAUAUAAUUUCACAUGUUACACGUUUACUUAAGAAUUUUGAAUUCAAAUUCCAUUUGGUCUUUAGAUUAUGUUACACAUUUACUUAAGAAUUUUGAAUUCAAAUUCCAUUUGGUCUUUGGAUUUUAAAAUGCAAGAUUUAGACUUGAGUUUUGGGUUUUGUUUCAAUGUGGUCCAAAUUUUAACAAUUUUUCUUCCUUGUUAAAUUAAAAAAAAUCACAAUCAUAUUUAUUUUACAUUAAUUAAUUAAAACUUAACUCAAAAGCCAAAAUGGUAUUAUUGCAAAUUCUAGAGGAAAGAUUUAAAAUAUUUAAAAUGAGAGGACUAAAUGGAAACUAAACUAAAAAACCGAAAAGGUUAAAAAGACCGUAACAUUUUGGAACCUAGGGCCAAAUGAAAAUUAAACUAAAAGGGUUAGGGGUAUUAAUACCAAUAACCUUUGAACUUAACGAAAAAUGAAAACUAGUUUAAAAAUCUGGAAAGUAAAAAUUGUAUAUUUUUUUCCCAAUUAUCAAAAUAAAAUCUUGAAUAAAAAUAUCCUAACAUCAUCUUCUUAACUUGACAAAUAAAAAAAAAAACAAAAAAAUAAAAAACAUGUGUAACUUAGGUUGCAUCCAUCAUCGUGCAACUCAAAUUGCACACCAAUAAAAAUAUACCUUGACAAAAAAAAAAUAGAUUUUUUUUCUUUAUGUAGUAAAAGUAGUAUGCUAGACUGCACAUAAUCAUGGUAAAAUAUAAAUAAGUUCCUUACCUUUCUCCUUACCUUUCUCUUUUUACAACUCAUGAACUCUAACUAUUGGAGGCCUAAUACUUGCAACUUCUCACAAUUAUUUAAUUAUACCAAUACCUUGUCUCAGACAACUCUCCUUCUGGAUUUUCCCCUGAAUGUUUGGAUCAAGAGCUUCCUUUACCCCUUUCUAGUGUUUAUGACAACAUUCUAGGAAGUGAACCUUCGUUUACAAACUUCACCACUGACUUCACUCGCACUCUUGAUUACAUAUUUUUCUCACCUUCAUAAGACCCGUUAGCUUUCUAGAGCUCCCAGAAUCAGAAUGGCCAGAGAUUAUUGGUGGGUUACCUAAUCAUAGCUACCCAAGUGAUCGUCUUCCUAUUGCUGCUGAAUUUGAAAUCACAAUGGAAUAAGUUCAGCAUUUCAAAUCUUAUCCCUAUUUUUUUCUCCUUCUAUUCAUAUUGAUUGUUUCUUUUAUUUAAAUGGAACAGACAUUUGUUCUAGGUUCCAUUGAAGUUGAGAAUCAUUGUAAACCUAGAUCUUUCUUUUUUUUCUUUGCUAUGGUUAAAUUAUAAGUUAAUGUUUGUUCUGUUACAAUUUUGUUCCUAUCAAUAUUGAUUAGUAUUAAAGUUAGUAUACUAUUUUGGACGUUGUUAGUUCUUGUACUUUUAUAUGUCGUACUAUCAAUACAUCUUAAAUAAUUUAGUUCAUCUGAUUUCAACAAAUCGUAACAACAUUU